RNAcentral lists this ribosomal RNA (253 nucleotides) under uncultured bacterium. RNAcentral describes it as "partial 16S ribosomal RNA". It matches the Rfam family "Bacterial small subunit ribosomal RNA", at positions 524 to 776 of the family's 1533-position model. The record is from RNAcentral.
UACGGAGGGUGCAAGCGUUGUUCGGAAUUACUGGGCGUAAAGAGCGCGUAGGCGGUUUUAUAAGUCAGACGUGAAAGCCCUGGGCUUAACCCAGGAUGUGCGUUUGAUACUGUAAAGCUAGAGGACCAGAGAGGUGAGUGGAAUUCCGAGUGUAGAGGUGAAAUUCGUAGAUAUUCGGAAGAACACCAGUGGCGAAGGCGACAUACUGGUCCGUUACUGACGCUGAGGCUCGAAAGCGUGGGGAGCAAACAGG